Molecule: non-coding RNA, 444 nt
Organism: Apodemus sylvaticus (European woodmouse)
Lineage: Eukaryota; Metazoa; Chordata; Mammalia; Rodentia; Muridae
Source: the annotation of a RefSeq genome assembly
GCUCAAAUGUAUAAACAAGUGAGAACUGAGCAGCAUCAGACAGGCUCGGGGAAUAAGAUGGAUUCACAGGUCCAGGGCUUCAUGUUGCUGCUGCUAUGGGUGUCUGGUACCUCUGGGGACAUUGUGAUGACUCAGUCUCCAUCCUCCCUGGCUGUGUCAGCAGGAGAGAAGGUCUCUAUGAGCUGCAAGUCCAGUCAGAGUCUUUUAUACAGUGCAAAUCAAAAGAACUACUUGGCCUGGUACCAGCAGAAACCAGGGCAAUCUCCUAAACUGCUGAUCUCCUGGGCAUCAGAACGGUACACUGGGGUCCCUGAUCGCUUCACAGGCAGUGGAUCUGGGACAGAUUUCACUCUCACCAUCAGCAGUGUGCAGGCUGAAGACCUGGCAGUUUAUUAUUGCCAGCAGUAUUACAAUCUUGCCACAGUGCUUCAGCUUCCUACAUAA